GCAAUACUGGGCGGCGACCGGCAAACGGGUGCGGAACACGUACACAACCUUCCGAGAAGUGGGGAAUAGCCCAGAGAAAUUUGGAUUAAUACCCCGUAACAUAACGAUGUGGCAUCACAUUGUUAUUAUAGCUUCGGCGCUUCUUGAUGGGUGUGCGGCUGAUUAGAUAGUUGGCGGGGUAACGGCCCACCAAGUCUACGAUCAGUAGCUGAUGUGAGAGCAUGAUCAGCCACACGGGCACUGAGACACGGGCCCGACUCCUACGGGAGGCAGCAGUAAGGAAUAUUGGUCAAUGGACGCAAGUCUGAACCAGCCAUGCCGCGUGAAGGAUUAAGGUCCUCUGGAUUGUAAACUUCUUUUAUCUGGGACGAAAAAAGGCGAUUCUUCGUCACUUGACGGUACCAGAUGAAUAAGCACCGGCUAACUCCGUGCCAGCAGCCGCGGUAAUACGGAGGGUGCAAGCGUUAUCCGGAUUCACUGGGUUUAAAGGGUGCGUAGGCGGGCAGGUAAGUCAGUGGUGAAAUCCUAGAGCUUAACUCUAGAACUGCCAUUGAUACUAUCUGUCUUGAAUAUUGUGGAGGUAAGCGGAAUAUGUCAUGUAGCGGUGAAAUGCUUAGAUAUGACAUAGAACACCUAUUGCGAAGGCAGCUUACUACGCAUAUAUUGACGCUGAGGCACGAAAGCGUGGGGAUCAAACAGGAUUAGAUACNNNNNUAGUC
This 719-nucleotide ribosomal RNA is filed under the name uncultured bacterium. RNAcentral describes it as "bacterial SSU rRNA". It matches the Rfam family "Bacterial small subunit ribosomal RNA", at positions 79 to 795 of the family's 1533-position model. The record is from RNAcentral.